Molecule: ribosomal RNA, 398 nt
Filed under: uncultured bacterium
Lineage: Bacteria
Description: bacterial SSU rRNA
Rfam family: Bacterial small subunit ribosomal RNA
Source: RNAcentral
GACGAACGCUGGCGGCGUGCUUAACACAUGCAAGUCGAGCGGUAAGGCCCUUUCGGGGUACGACGAGCGGCGAACGGGUGAGUAACACGUGGGUGACCUGCCCUCCAGCUCUGGGAGUAAGCCUGGGAAACCGGGUCUAAUACCGGAUAUGACUCCAUGACGCAUGUUGUGGGGUGGAAAGCCUUGUGCGGCUGAGGAUGGGCCCGCGGCCUAUCAGCUUGUUGGUGGGGUGAUGGCCUACCAAGGCGACGACGGGUAGCCGGCCUGAGAGGGCGACCGGCCACACUGGGACUGAGACACGGCCCAGACUCCUACGGGAGGCAGCAGUGGGGAAUCUUGCGCAAUGGGCGAAAGCCUGACGCAGCGACGCCGCGUGAGGGAUGACGGCCUGUGUAACU